AACAUACAUAGAAAAAUUCUUAAAACCUUUUUUAUUGUAUGAUUGCCCCUAUAAUUAGUAUAGCUACAUGGUCAAAGUCGGUGUAAUAUAACUUAAAUAAUCUUUAGAGGAUUGAAGUUUCGCUAUUUGCAUCAUUUACCUACUUUCAUAGAAAAUGUACUUUUAUCUUGUGAAUAUUCUGGGCAAAUUUGCAAAAGUCCUGAAGAUGGACAAAGUGAAGCCUAGUGGAAAUGAAGGGUGGCUACGAGUCGUUAUGACAACCAACGACUCAUAGUGAAGGCUCGUGCUGACAACAGAAG
Molecule: long non-coding RNA, 299 nt
Filed under: Capsicum annuum
Lineage: Eukaryota; Viridiplantae; Streptophyta; Magnoliopsida; Solanales; Solanaceae
Description: long non-coding RNA (CANN_LNC007655)
Source: RNAcentral